AUCAAUAAAUAAUCGUGCGGAUUAUACAAUCCAGGACUAUAAAACCGUGUUGCUUCCUAUUACGUUUUAACCGUAUUGUCAUACCAGAAGCGUCAAGUCCAUCGGAGAGAUCAUACUCGAGUUCGUCUUAAUGCCCUUUUGUGUUGAACAUUUGUGCUUCCCUUAACGUAUUCUUUAUUGAAUACGC
RNAcentral lists this small nucleolar RNA (187 nucleotides) under Nakaseomyces glabratus CBS 138. RNAcentral's name for it is "Candida glabrata sRNA CAGL0M02640r". It matches the Rfam family "Small nucleolar RNA snR35", at positions 1 to 175 of the family's 204-position model. The record is from RNAcentral. Lineage: Eukaryota; Fungi; Ascomycota; Saccharomycetes; Saccharomycetales; Saccharomycetaceae.